GGAGAGACAGCUAGUUGGUUUAUGGAAAAUUUGGUUUUCGAAAAGAGCCAAUAGGACUG
RNAcentral lists this transfer RNA (59 nucleotides) under Centrorhynchus milvus. Its description in RNAcentral is "tRNA-Gln". The record is from RNAcentral. Lineage: Eukaryota; Metazoa; Acanthocephala; Palaeacanthocephala; Polymorphida; Centrorhynchidae.